CCAUCGGUGGUUCAGUGGUAGAAUGCUCGCCUACCACGGCCCGGGUUCGAUUCCCGGCCGAUGCA
Cordylochernes scorpioides is the source of this 65-nucleotide non-coding RNA. The record is from the annotation of a GenBank genome assembly. NCBI's taxonomy places the organism in Eukaryota, Metazoa, Arthropoda, Arachnida, Pseudoscorpiones, Chernetidae.